AUUUCCUCCAUGACAUGUGCAUUAUAGUAGCCAAAACUUUAGAAUUAUUUGAUGUUCUGGUGUUGUGGGCACUGUAGGGGUGUAUUGAUUAUGAUCAACCGUAACUUUCGGGGGCUCCGUAAAGAACAUGUCCAUCAAGAUUAUCAAACAAACAAAGUACAGUACAGUAGUUCCAUGCAAAGCUAAAAGACGCAUGUUGCAUAUUAUUCUAAUUAAAGCUGGAUACAUAACAUCAAUGCAAAUCGCUUCAGAAGCUACGACACUAUAUCCUACAAUGGCCUUAACCAACACACCCACUCACCUUGUCCAUGUGAACAAGUCAAGGACUUACUAUAUUUCUGACCUGCACUUCAUUAAACCCUCUGAGCUACUGUAUCUGUAUGCUAAUAUAAGCAGCAGCUUAAUCAUCUGUUUCUGUGUCUGAGCUGUGUAUAAAGCUGAGAAAGAAUGUAUUCCUGGGUAUUUGUAAUUAUAAUGGGAGCACUGUGCACCUGUUCUAAGGUCUCUGCAGCAGGUGAUUCCUACGAUGGUGAGUUGGGGAUGGAGGCUAACAUCACACUAGAUGUGCAGACCAUUCUGACCAGUUUGAAUACAUCACAAGGACUUAUAGUGACCAAUUUAAAUGGAGCUAACAACACAGUGACCUUCUUAAAAGAGGAAGUAGCAGCAGAGUGCCUCAUUAUUGGAAGUGACAGUAGCUGCAACUGCUCUACUGGCUACACUUGGAGCAACGACGUGUGCUACACUUACAGCUGUUGCAAUGAUAGUACUUGCACAGCAAAUGUGUCCUACAUAACACCACUCUGCAUUCCCAAAGUCAAAGUUCAAAUCGAUGGCUCAGUUACCUUCUAUUCAACAUGGGAUUCACAUAAUACUGAUUUGAUUGGAAACAGCCUUCGAAGUCUGAAUGGCCUUCAGGCCCUGACUGUAACAAAGAGUACCACCCAAUCUGCAGCUAUUCUGGCAAACGUCAGUGUUAAGAUUGUGACCUCAAAACUUCAAGACUUAAUUAACAAUCUACAAAUAAGUCUUAAUGCUACAAUUAUGGUCAACAUUCUAGGAAUGGUCACUAUAUUGUCUCCUAACACUUCAGUAUGCUAUGAGUCCAGCACAGUACUCAAAUGCACUCUUGAGCAGAAGACAGACAGUGCUGGUUGGACACUAAAUCAGAAUGGGCUCAACCCUGGCAUUGUUGUCCAACUGAACAACAGCUGUGCCCCAACAGAAAGCAGCUCUUGUACUGCCCUUACACUUCAGAAGGUGACAGGCGCCUGGGCAGGUACAUACAAAUGUACAUUCACUACUGGGUCAGUUACACACACAGCCACGACACAACUAGAUGUUUCACUCUUGCCUGAUGUGAUCACCAUGGAGACUAGUCCUCUCACAGCAGACUGUUCGCAACUGCCCAAAAAUAUUCCAUUAACUGUUUCUACCACCAUCCUACCAAGUUCAGGGAACUAUGUGGUUUGGUGGAACUGUAGUUCUGGGAUUAGUACGUGUGAACUAAACAGCCCAGCUAACAACAAAUGCAAUGCAAUCAUCAGUUGCCCACAAAACUCUGUUCCACUGUUUGUUAAUGUGACUUUCAAAAACACGAAAGGCCAAACUAAAACUGCACAAGUGUCUAUCCCAGUCAUUUCUGCCCAAAGCAGAUUUUGCCAAAGUGAGGACAUUUGGCCAAAAACCCCAAUUGGAUACACUGUGUUUAAUCUGACAUGUGCCACAGGCAGAUCUGGCAAUAAGUCACGUUAUUGUGACAAUACUGGGUGGCAACCGGUCUUUGACAACUGUGUUAACGAAGAGUUGAAUAAAGCUUUAAAUGACGCAAAUAACUUCCUGAUGGGACUGGGGGGCACUCAAGAAAAGGCCACUACCAUAUUUGAAACAAUCAGAAACACUUCAAACACUGGUUCCAAUACUAGUAUUGCUGACAUUUCUGCAUCCAUUAACGUUCUAAAUGUUAUGGCCCAAGCUUCGGAAAAUAUUGUCUUAACAGAUUCAAUCUUCCCCGUAAGCCACAACUCACUAUUAUUGCUUAAGUAUUUCCAUGUAUCUGUGGUUUAUGGGUUAUCGGUCUUGCCUCACAGCAAAAAGGAUUUUAAUUCCCAGCUUAAGAUAAGUGCGGGUCACUUAGAAAUGUACUUAUUUUUGACAGAAAGGCACCUUUUUUUUGCAAUGUACGAUUCAGGAAUACACUGUUUACAUCACUAA
Molecule: long non-coding RNA, 2214 nt
Organism: Betta splendens (Siamese fighting fish)
Lineage: Eukaryota; Metazoa; Chordata; Actinopteri; Anabantiformes; Osphronemidae
Source: Ensembl